Molecule: ribosomal RNA, 121 nt
Filed under: Pteropus alecto (black flying fox)
Lineage: Eukaryota; Metazoa; Chordata; Mammalia; Chiroptera; Pteropodidae
Source: RNAcentral
GUCUACGGCCAUGCCACCCUGAACAAGUCCAAUCCUGUCUGAUCUCGAAAGCUAAGCAGGGUCGGGCCUGGUUAGUACUUGGAUGGGAGACUCUACCUAGGAAGACCAGGUGCUGGAGGCA